CCUACGGGCGGCAGCAGUAGGGAAUUUUCGUCAAUGGGCGCAAGCCUGAACGAGCGAUGCCGCGUGAGUGAAGAAGGCCCUCGGGGCGGAAAGCUCUGUUUCGGGGGAAAAAAGGCAGCAUCAGGAAAUGGGUGCUGACUGAUGGUGCCCCGCCAGAAAGUCACGGCUAACUACGUGCCAGCAGCCGCGGUAAUACGUAGGUGGCGAGCGUUAUCCGGAUUGAUUGGGCGUAAAGGGUGCGCAGGCGGUCCUGCAAGUCUGGAGUGAAACGCAUGAGCUCAACUCAUGCAUGGCAUUGGAAACUGGAGGACUGGAGAGCAGGAGAGGGCGGUGGAACUCCAUGUGUAGCGGUAAAAUGCGUAGAUAUGUGGAAGAACACCAGUGGCGAAGGCGGCCGCCUGGACUGUUGCUGACGCUGAGGCACGAAAGCGUGGGGAGCAAAUAGGAUUAGAUACCCUGGUAGUC
Molecule: ribosomal RNA, 465 nt
Filed under: uncultured bacterium
Lineage: Bacteria
Description: partial 16S ribosomal RNA
Rfam family: Bacterial small subunit ribosomal RNA
Source: RNAcentral